Molecule: unclassified non-coding RNA, 354 nt
Filed under: soil metagenome
Description: partial contains 5.8S ribosomal RNA, internal transcribed spacer 2, and large subunit ribosomal RNA
Rfam family: 5.8S ribosomal RNA (bases 1-120)
Source: RNAcentral
GAUGAAGAACGUAGUGAAACGCGAUAUGUAAUGUGAAUUGCAGAAUUCAGUGAAUCAUCGAAUCUUUGAACGCACAUGGCGCCUUCCAGUAUCCUGGGAGGCAUGCCUGUCCGAGCGUCGUUUCAACCCUCGAGCCCUCGUGGCCCGGCGUUGGGGAUCUGCCACGGGAGGCCCCGAAAUACAGUGGCGGACCCGUUAGGCCCUUCCUUUGCGUAGUAGCAUCAGCCUCGCAUCGGGAGCCGGCGGGCUCUCCUGCCUCUAAACCCCCCAACAAGCCCGCUCCGGCGGCACCAAGGUUGACCUCGGAUCAGGUAGGAAUACCCGCUGAACUUAAGCAUAUCAAUAAGCGGAGGA